CUCUUAUUACUGAAGAAUAAUGUGUUUAAAACCUGAUUUCUUUCUGAAAACCCAUAACAUCAGCCCAAUAAAGAGAAAACAUCAGACAAACCCAGAUUGGGGAACAUUUUACAGAGUAUCUCACAGUACUCCUCAAGAUGGGCAAAGUCACGAAAAACAAGGAAGGACUGAGAACCUGUCACAGCCCGCAGGAGACUGAGACACGAUGGAUGACGAGAUGCACCAUGGUGCCCUGGCUGAGCCGUGAUGUCACGUCUCUGUUCGGUUUUGCUGGUGCGUGCCUGCAGGACCUUGGCAAGAGCUGCUCCUGCUGGGUGGGAUGCUGUGCCCAUCUUCCUCCGCCUGGGAAACUGCUACUUAUCCUUCAUCUCUCGGCUUAAACAUGGCUUGCUCAGGGCAGAGCCACCCCAUCUUCCUGGCUGGCUCUCAUAGUGCUGUAUCGCUCUCCUUUUUGACAUUUUCCACAGUUGUAUAUUGCCUUUCACAGGCUCUCUCUCCUUUUUCACAUCUCCUCCUCUGCCCCAAAUAAUCAGCCUUCAGAAGCAGCAGCAGCCCCAGGGUUGGCCUUUCCUGGAGUCACCAGGAAGCCUGGGGUCCACUGGCAGAGGCCACUGCAGGAGGUGUGGGUGGGGCGAGAGACGAGAAAGGGCAGUGAUCCUAAGGGAAAGGAUGCAGGUUGAGGGCAUGGGAACUGAGGCCAGAAAAGGACUUGAUUUUCUGCUUCUAGGAGAAGGGAAGGGAGAAAGACGGAGGUGAUGGGGUCCAGAAUAUGCCACUCUGGCAUAGGGAUUACUUUGUCCUGAAAGCCAUGGAGAAAAAGCAUACACAAGAAAACCUCUGCUCUCCCCUCUCUACCAGGAAGGGCAGGAUGAUUCUUAAUAAUCAGCAGAGAUAACUCUAGACACUUAUCAGCUCAGAGACAGCACCAAAAGAACCCACAUAAUAAACCUUACUGACUAGCCCUUAUCUCCCACAAUUUUCCUCACACAUUUGCCUUCCCAUGGUUUGCCGCCCCUACAAGCUCAAAGUCCCUUCCCUGGGUCUUGUUACUUCUCUACAAAUUUAUCGUUCUUUUGUUAAGAUGCGGUAUGCUACCCCAAGUUCUAACCAGCCCUUUGAGCUACUCAUCACUGAGCUCCCACGUAUAUGUGUGCCAUAUGUGUU
RNAcentral lists this long non-coding RNA (1164 nucleotides) under Equus caballus (horse). RNAcentral describes it as "lncRNA (ENSECAG00000045780.1)". Lineage: Eukaryota; Metazoa; Chordata; Mammalia; Perissodactyla; Equidae. The record is from RNAcentral.